RNAcentral lists this ribosomal RNA (424 nucleotides) under uncultured bacterium. RNAcentral's name for it is "partial 16S ribosomal RNA". It matches the Rfam family "Bacterial small subunit ribosomal RNA", at positions 360 to 776 of the family's 1533-position model. The record is from RNAcentral.
AAUUUUGGACAAUGGGGGAAACCCUGAUCCGGCCAUCCCGCGUGUAUGAUUAAGGCCUUCGGGUUGUCAAGUACCUUUUGCAGAGAAGAAAAGGUAUCCCCUAAUACGGGAUCCUGCUGACGGUAUCUGCAGAAUAAGCACCGACUAACUACGUGCCAGCAGCCGCGGUAAUACGUAGUGUGCAAGCGUUAAUCGGAAUUACUUGGCGUAACGAGUGUGUAGGCGGUUCAGAAAGAAAGAUGUGAAAACGCAGGGCUCAAACUUGGAACUGCAUUUUUAACUGCCGAGCUAGAGUAUGGUAGAGGGAGGUAGAAUUCCACGUGUAGCAGUGAAAUGCGUAGAUAUGUGGAGGAAUACCGAUGGCGAAGGCAGCCCCCUGGGAUAAUACUGACGCUCAGACACGAAAGCGUGGGGAACAAACCGG